Xyrauchen texanus (razorback sucker) is the source of this 214-nucleotide long non-coding RNA. RefSeq lists it as uncharacterized. NCBI's taxonomy places the organism in Eukaryota, Metazoa, Chordata, Actinopteri, Cypriniformes, Catostomidae. The record is from RefSeq and is a predicted model, not a curated record. The transcript is spliced from 3 exons.
GGAAACCCUGUUCAGCUGGUGAGACUGCUAAACCCAUGGGGACAUGGCGAGUGGAAAGGAGAUUGGAGUGACAACUCACCCUUGUGGAAAACGGUGAGUGCAGAAGAAUGCAAAACGUGCAAACAUGUGGCCAUUGAUGGGGAAUUCUGGAUGUCAAUGGAAGAUUACACCACAAACUUUAAUGACAUGGCUAUCUGUUGUCCAUCUCCUGAUU